This 856-nucleotide long non-coding RNA is filed under the name Olea europaea (common olive). RNAcentral describes it as "long non-coding RNA (OEUR_LNC010532)". Lineage: Eukaryota; Viridiplantae; Streptophyta; Magnoliopsida; Lamiales; Oleaceae. The record is from RNAcentral.
UCUUCGGCGAGCGGCCUUGUGCUGCUCGUCCGGUUGUUAAGUUUCUUGAUUUUGGGUUAAGCUUGUAAGGUUUUGUUCUCCGGCGGUCAAAGAAUUUGCUGUAUGAUUUGAAAAGAAAUGCAAGAAUCUGGGCAAGUUGUUGAAGGAAAGAGGAGCACUGGAGUAGGCAACGAACUUGUUACAGAGGCCGACGAACAGCAAAGCCGUUAUAAACACCCUUCUUAUCGGCAUCUUCGCUGUGUUGAGGGUACGAUCGAUAGAGCAGUAGCAUCAAACUGAGGCACUGGAGGCAGAUUGGAAGAUGUGGUCGUAUGGGUUUGGGUUAUUGUAUGAUUGCAACAAUGGCGAUUCAGUUAUUGGGAGGUGGCGGUUUGGUGAUAGAGAGAGGAAGUGUGGUUGAUCGGCACGAAGUGGUCACCCGUACAGUUGGGGUGAUGAAUGUGGGACGACGUCUGUGAGAUAAGGAUGCAGAAGAUGAAGUUUGGGCCAAGUAAUAGUGUAAUUGGGUUGGGCCAGGAUUACUGGACUGCUUAUGGGUAAAUUUAUGGAAUGGGCUGUCAAGUUAUGGGCUUGGUAAUUGGUUAGAUUACUUGGGCCUAGGUUUUAUUUUCUGGGAUUAGUUUUGAUUGUGAUUGGGCUAUGAGAAUCUAGUUGGGCUGAUUUUAGUUUAUUGUAGAGAUUGUGUUGUAGGGCUUUUGUGGUUGGAGUGAUUAUGGGCCAUAGUAUAUGUUUUGCGUUAUGGGCUAUUAGGUUAAUAUUUUUGGUUAUUAUUUCAGGUUUAGUGGAUUGGUUAGUUUGGCCUGUUGGGUUUGGUGUUUUGGGCUGCAUUAUAUGGAUGGUUGUAAUUGGAUGAAAG